GAUGAACGCUGGCGGCGUGCUUAACACAUGCAAGUCGAACGGAAGGGCCAGUGCUUGCACUGGUACUCGAGUGGCGAACGGGUGAGUAACACGUGGGUGAUCUGCCCUGCACUUCGGGAUAAGCCUGGGAAACUGGGUCUAAUACCGGAUAGGACAAUGGUUUGGAUGCCGUUGUGGAAAGUUUUUUCGGUGUGGGAUGAGCUCGCGGCCUAUCAGCUUGCUGGUGGGGUAAUGGCCUACCAAGGCGUCGACGGGUAGCCGGCCUGAGAGGGUGUACGGCCACAUUGGGACUGAGAUACGGCCCAGACUCCUACGGGAGGCAGCAGUGGGGAAUAUUGCACAAUGGGCGCAAGCCUGAUGCAGCGACGCCGCGUGGGGGAUGACGGCCUUCGGGUUGUAAACUCCUUUCGCUAGGGACGAAGCGUAUUUGUGACGGUACCUGGAGAAGAAGCACCGGCUAACUACGUG
Molecule: ribosomal RNA, 468 nt
Filed under: uncultured bacterium
Lineage: Bacteria
Description: partial 16S ribosomal RNA
Rfam family: Bacterial small subunit ribosomal RNA
Source: RNAcentral